CGCGUGUGUGAAGAAGGCCUUCGGGUUGUAAAGCACUUUCAGUCGGGAGGAAGGUGUUGAAGCUAAUAUCUGCAUUAUUUGACGUUACCGACAGAAGAAGCACCGGCUAACUCCGUGCCAGCAGCCGCGGUAAUACGGAGGGUGCGAGCGUUAAUCGGAAUUACUGGGCGUAAAGCGCAUGCAGGUGGUUUGUUAAGUUAGAUGUGAAAGCCCGGGGCUCAACCUGGGAAUAGCAUUUGAGACUGGUCGACUAGAGUCUUGUAGAGGGGGGUAGAAUUUCAUGUGUAGCGGUGAAAUGCGUAGAGAUCUGGAGGAAUACCGGUGGCGAAGGCGGCCCCCUGGACAAUACUGACGCUCAGAUGCGAAAGCGUGGGGAGCAAACAGGAUUAGAUACCCUGGUAUUCCACGCCGUAAACGAUGUCUACUUGGAGGUUGUGCCCUUGAGCCGUGGCUUUUCGGGAGCUACCCCCCCCCAAUAGACCGCCUGGGGGAGUACGGUCGCAAGGAUUAAAACUCAAAUGAAUUUGACGGGGGCCCGCACAAGCGGUGGAGCAUGUGGGUUUUAAUUUCGAUGCAACGCGAAGAACCUUACCUACUCUUGACAUCCAGAGACUUUCCAGAGAUGCUUUGGUUGCCUUUCGGGAACUUCUGAUACGGUGCUGCAUGGCUGUC
Molecule: ribosomal RNA, 672 nt
Filed under: Vibrio neocaledonicus
Lineage: Bacteria; Pseudomonadati; Pseudomonadota; Gammaproteobacteria; Vibrionales; Vibrionaceae
Description: bacterial SSU rRNA
Rfam family: Bacterial small subunit ribosomal RNA
Source: RNAcentral